GUGCUCGCUUCAGCAGCACAUAUACUAAAAUUGGAGCAAUAUAGAGAAGAUUAGCAUGGCCCCUGUGCAAGGAUGACACGCAAAUUCGUGAAGCAUUUCUUCCAUAUUUUU
This is a small nuclear RNA of Suncus etruscus (white-toothed pygmy shrew), 111 nucleotides long. The record is from RefSeq and is a predicted model, not a curated record. NCBI's taxonomy places the organism in Eukaryota, Metazoa, Chordata, Mammalia, Eulipotyphla, Soricidae.